AUCGCUUCUCAGCCUUUUGGCUAAGAUCAAGUGUCGUAUGCGUUCUAUCAGUUUAAUAUCUGUUACGUCUUCUCUCCAAGGACAAUAUAUUAAAUGGGUUUUUGGAGCAGGGAGAUGGAAUAGGAGUUUGCUCCGGGCACCGUCCUGCUCUUGCAGGUAUCCAGGAACAGCGCACCUCCU
This 180-nucleotide small nuclear RNA is filed under the name Vulpes vulpes (red fox). RNAcentral's name for it is "U2 spliceosomal RNA (ENSVVUG00000003035.1)". It matches the Rfam family "U2 spliceosomal RNA". From Rfam's summary of the family: U2 is a small nuclear RNA (snRNA) component of the spliceosome (involved in pre-mRNA splicing). Lineage: Eukaryota; Metazoa; Chordata; Mammalia; Carnivora; Canidae. The record is from Rfam by way of RNAcentral.